Molecule: long non-coding RNA, 2027 nt
Filed under: Parus major (Great Tit)
Lineage: Eukaryota; Metazoa; Chordata; Aves; Passeriformes; Paridae
Description: lncRNA (ENSPMJG00000001634.1)
Source: RNAcentral
AUGAAGCUCCAGGCUACACCUGUCUUUUCUCUCCUUCACUUUUACGUUUUAUCUGUUCCCACUUGUGAGAUUAUUCUAGGUGAAUACCCUGUGACAAUGGCUCCCUGGCAGCUCCUUAACCACUGCAAGUCUGCAGUAAUCUGCAGGAUAGUGGUGUUUGGAGGGCGUGGAAACACAGCUGGAAAAAAGGUCUCUAAGUGGUCACCCCCAACAAGAUGUUUUGGGAUGCUCACAAGAAGCAAGAGGAGGGUUUGUUUCAUAUGGUGCCUUGGCUCUUCAGUUCUCCCUCUGGUGGGCUGUGGGACCUGAGGACAGCAGGUGAUAUGAUGGGAAGGACAAAGAUCAAAGACAGCACUGAAACCUGCCCCCUGCCUCGAAGAGACCAGUUAUCCAAGCUGAGUGGGGCAUAUCCACAGCAUCCAUGAGGAGAGGUCACAGCAGCUCACAGCUGGAGCCUGAGUCAUCUCAGAAGCCAUUCAUUCAUCUGUUGCACUAUCUGUAAAUGAGGUAUCUUGUACAACAUGCCAGGGUUUGUGGUAAUCAGUUAUGGGGCACAUGCUGCAUUUAAAACUAAUCUUGACAAUAAUGCAUCUCAUUAAAGCCCUUGGCAUAUUCUGUGUUUUGUAGGGCAUGUUUGCUGUCAUACAGCUAUAAUAUAUUUAUCACAAGCAAGCUUAUUAUUUCUGUAGCUUUUCUUCUAUGCUAUAGCACUGUUCCUGACAGUUAGUGCCUAAAUCCAUUUUGUAUGCAUCAGAAUUUCCAGUGUUUAAUUUCUCUGCAGCCCGAGAGGAGUCAGGAUAUAAAGCACCAGGCUGUGGAGGCUGCUAACACAGAACAGUGUGAGAAGAGCUCCUGUUGUGGGAGUCCUUCAGGGCUUUUACUUGGACAUCAUAACUGGAGGAAGAGAAGCUGAAUGCUUUGGUUGUGCUCUGCAAAAUAGGUAUUCUGAAGUCUAGUCCUGUCUCGGGAGGCAGCUUGAAGACCAGCUUCUUAAUCUUUGAAAGGUGAUUUAUAAAAUUAUUAAGGCCUUUUGCUUAAGUACCCUUCAGAUAUAAGGUAUUAUUAUGAUGCUAUACAGUCAUAGAGAUUUAAUUGAAGGUAUUUAACUGCAGUGGCUGUAAAACAAUUGAAAUUAUACUCGACCUCCUCCUUGGAGCAAUGCUUUUAGACAGAUUAAUAAGGUAAGUAAUGCCUAAAUUCUUUGUGUCUUUCCUGAGGUUUUCUCCAAUACACUUAAUGGAGUUUUCACGAUGGAGCCAGAUUGGCAGCUAUAAGGAAUUCUAGUAAUUAUGCCCCCUAAAUUCCUCAUACUUCUUUCCAACUGAGUAUCUCUAGGAUCAAAGUAAACAUGAUAACAACUGUCUGUAAAUAACAUUCUCUGUAAUGACGUACAGAGAAUCUGACCUGUAAAAGAAAUCAAAGAAUAAGUGGUUUUCCCAGUAAAUCAGGGCCAAGACAGAGUCACAGUAGAUGCUUACUGUCAAACCCCUACAUGUGCAUGUUUACAGGUUACUUAUUCAGCCACAGGUGUAGAAAUUCAUGUGGUCUCACAGCUUAAGAAGUAAUAAUAGGCCAACCAAAAAGGCUUGUUAAUUUAGUCUGGAUGCUAAUCUGAACUUCAACUGAACCUACUUGCUCAAGCAAUCUACUCAGCAAUCUACAGGAGAAGAGACUUUUUCUCAUGUAGAGCCAGCCUAACAAAAAUUAAGCUAACCUCUAACUGAGAUGCUUAUGGGGAAGAUGUGUUCCCUGUGGGCAGUUUGUGUGGGCACGUGUGGAGGAGCAAGCAGCCACCUAAACAAAAAAGUGUCUUUUUAUUUGGGGAGUUCCUUGCCCAGUAUCAUGAAUGAGUGUUGUAAGAUCACUUAAAGAACCACUGGCAAAGGUAUCAGUAAAAACAGGUUUAAUAUAAAAGCAACGGCACAACAAAGUUCAUUGGCAAGGUUAAAUCUAGUACUUUGUAGAUGGUUAAGGCACACUGAGGAAAAGCAAAUAAAAGUCCAGAGGUAAGGAUAAAAGGGAAUAGG